This 2128-nucleotide long non-coding RNA is filed under the name Cavia porcellus (domestic guinea pig). RNAcentral's name for it is "lncRNA (ENSCPOG00000030219.1)". The record is from RNAcentral. Lineage: Eukaryota; Metazoa; Chordata; Mammalia; Rodentia; Caviidae.
GCUUUGAGGGCCCCGAGCAAGCAGCGCGGCUGCAGCGCAGACGCACGCGGAGGGGCCACCGGGAGCGGAGGUCCCCGGGCUGCGGGAGGGACAGGGACGCUUCUGAGUGCCAGAGACCUCCUGACCGCCUGGCUUUGACCACUGACAAAGCGGGAAGCUGGUCGGGUGCAGGCGUCUGGAAGUGAGGGCACCCGGAGAGCACAGCCAAGCUGGAGUUGAGGGUGCAGAGAAUCCAAACGAUGGACUCGGACCGAACAGAGAGCAACCCCAACGUGGGGGCGACCGACACGGGCUCAGAGGGCUCAGUGGGAGGCUGCUCCUAUUGAGUGUGUGCUGGGAGAGAUCCCUGCACUUCUGCUGGAAGCCGGCCUCACUCCUCCCAGUGCCCACUGUUGCUGGAGAUUCCAGUGAGGGACAUACAGAAAGCAGGCUACUGAUCAUCAACCACCAGCUGCUCAAACCAGAUGUGGUGACUCCAUAAAGGAUCGUGGACUGGUAUUAAGAAAGACAUUAGGGUUAAAUGAGGUCAUAAGGGUGGGGCCUCGAUCCAACAGAACUAGUGAACUUGUAGACACCAGGAGUGUGAUCCCAUUGAGCAAAGCCCUGCCUGAAGCUCGGUCUUAGACUUUUAACCUCCAGAACCAUGAGAAAAUAAAUGUGUGUUGUUUACAUUGCCCAGUCCAUGGUAUUUAGCUAUGGAAAGCAUAGCAGACUAAGACAGUGACCUUAGAAAAACUGUGCAGUUCUUUUUAGUUAUAGCAUAUAUCUUGAAAUUACUUGACUUGGGAUACUGCAGAUCUAUUGAUACUUCCCCCACCCACCACCUUACGCUUUCCUCCUGAGUAGAACUUUAGAAAGACAAAAGGAUUAUUUUAUUCCCUAUGAUGUGGGCGACAGGGUGUCUGUACAUUGGUCAAACAUUUUUUGUGGGUGUGUCUGCAAAGGAGUUGCUGAAUGGGACUAACAUUUGAAUCAGGAGACAGCAUUCAUAGAUCACUGCCCUCAAUGUGAACGAGUCUCAUCCAAACAAGUGAAGAACCGAACAAAACAAAAAGUUUGAUUAAUAGAGCGCGAUCAGUAGUUCCAAGACGAAGCUCAGGGUCUCCUCAGGUGCUGGCUGUGAGAAACUCACCGAGAGCAGGAUGAACGGAAGUUUCAUUCGCGUUCUGCGAAGCGUAUAGCCACAUAAAUUGCUGCUGACUCUCUGGGUGAAGAAGGGAAGGCUGGUGUGGGUCUGAUUCAGUGGUAAGAACUACAAACAAGGUUUCCCUAUGAAGCAGGGCUUCCUUGACUCAUGGCUAAGUUUGCUUGCUGCUCAGCAAGGGGCUUCCUGUCACAGACCAAGGAGAACCUCAGAGAGAAAGCGUAAAUCUGUCUGAAGUUGCACUGCCAAUCUGAGCGUUCUCAACUUUAUUAUGAAAAAAGGAAAAAGAGAUAUUCCUGGGUUGACUGAUACUACUGUGCCUCGGCGCCUGGGGCCCAAAAAACAGAAUCCAUACACUUUUAUGGUGUCUGCCAGUGAGUUUGUAGAAAGCCCUUAAACAAGGAAGGUAACAAACGCAGGACUAAAGCCUCAAGACUCAGUGCCUCGCUACUCGACGCGUCCUUCAACACAAAUACCGCGGUCUUACUGCGCUGAAAAAGCACACACGUAAAACAAGGAAGAAGCUACAGAAUACGCUGCACUUCUGGCUGAGAGAACGAAGGAAGCCAAAGAAAAACACCAGGAACAAAUUGCCUGGAGAUGCAGGCUUUCCUCUCUGAGAGCUGCCUCUUCCAAGUCUGAGUCCAGUCAAAAAUGAAGUGCUUACGUGAGAAAUAAAUUAGAUCUGACCUAAAAAAAAAUUAGGGACCUCUGCCUGCCUGGCUGUCUAAGCCAGGACUCCUGUCUCCUGCAUUUGGAUGGGAAUUUACACCAUCAGCUCUCCUGAAUCUCCUUUCUUCCAGCUGCAAAUCUUUGGACUUCUCAUUCCCAUAAUUACAUGAGCCAAUUCCUCAUAAUAAAUCUUUUUAUGGCUGGCAGUGUAGCUCAGUGCUACUGCACUUCCCUAGCAUGUGCAAGGCCCUGGGUUCAAUCUUCAAAACUGUAAAAAUAAAAAUAAAUUUAUUUUGAUCUACGUGUACUUCC